Molecule: long non-coding RNA, 355 nt
Organism: Gallus gallus (chicken)
Lineage: Eukaryota; Metazoa; Chordata; Aves; Galliformes; Phasianidae
Source: Ensembl
GGAAGACACAGUCCGUGGUGUGGGACUGAGCAAGCUGCUGAAUCGUUACCUUCUUCUGAACCUCUUCAACACACCACCAGGGCCAGAAAACAUAGAGAAGUGUAAAGAGAAUGCUCUCUGGGUGAACAGGUGGUUGCAUGCUUCCCAGAAAGGUGGUUCCAAAAUCAUGGAAGUGGGUCAACUCUCCCCGAGUCAGUGAACUUCUGCCAGCAUUUGGUUCAGUGAGCACGUAUGCUUCACAGGAGUAACCACAGUGAUGAAACUGAAGAAGUUGUUCUCCUGUUGCUGAAAGUCAAGGCUCUGCGUAUUGCUGAAGAGCUCAUUGAAGAGUGCAAACGGGAACAUCUUAAAUCUG